This 73-nucleotide transfer RNA is filed under the name Dimargaris cristalligena. It matches the Rfam family "tRNA". Rfam says of the family: Transfer RNA (tRNA) molecules are approximately 80 nucleotides in length. Their secondary structure includes four short double-helical elements and three loops (D, anti-codon, and T loops). Lineage: Eukaryota; Fungi; Kickxellomycota; Dimargaritomycetes; Dimargaritales; Dimargaritaceae. The record is from Rfam by way of RNAcentral.
GGUUCCAUAGUGUAGUUGGUUAUCACAUGGGGUUUUGAUCCCCGCAACCCGAGUUCGAAUCUCGGUGGGACCU